CAAGACCUUGCGCUAAAGGAGCGGCCGAUGUCUGAUUAGCUAGUUGGUGGGGUAAAGGCUUACCAAGGCAACGAUCAGUAGUUGGUCUGAGAGGACGACCAACCACACUGGGACUGAGACACGGCCCAGACUCCUACGGGAGGCAGCAGUGGGGAAUUUUGGACAAUGGGCGAAAGCCUGAUCCAGCCAUGCCGCGUGAGUGAAGAAGGCCUUCGGGUUGUAAAGCUCUUUUAGUCGGAAAGAAAGAGUUGCAAUGAAUAAUUGUGAUUUAUGACGGUACCGACAGAAAAAGCACCGGCUAACUACGUGCCAGCAGCCGCGGUAAUACGUAGGGUGCGAGCGUUAAUCGGAAUUACUGGGCGUAAAGGGUGCGCAGGCGGUCUUGCAAGUCAGAUGUGAAAGCCCCGGGCUUAACCUGGGAAUU
This 424-nucleotide ribosomal RNA is filed under the name uncultured beta proteobacterium. RNAcentral describes it as "bacterial SSU rRNA". It matches the Rfam family "Bacterial small subunit ribosomal RNA", at positions 207 to 622 of the family's 1533-position model. RNAcentral also lists the same sequence under 1 other name. The record is from RNAcentral. Lineage: Bacteria; Pseudomonadati; Pseudomonadota; Betaproteobacteria.